UGUGGGAGCUGGCUUGCCUGCGAUAGCGGCUUUGAACGUGCCGCCGCUAUCGCAGGCAAGCCAGCUCCCACA
Molecule: unclassified non-coding RNA, 72 nt
Filed under: Pseudomonas cedrina
Lineage: Bacteria; Pseudomonadati; Pseudomonadota; Gammaproteobacteria; Pseudomonadales; Pseudomonadaceae
Source: RNAcentral